This 69-nucleotide transfer RNA is filed under the name Cuculus canorus (common cuckoo). It matches the Rfam family "tRNA". From Rfam's summary of the family: Transfer RNA (tRNA) molecules are approximately 80 nucleotides in length. Their secondary structure includes four short double-helical elements and three loops (D, anti-codon, and T loops). Lineage: Eukaryota; Metazoa; Chordata; Aves; Cuculiformes; Cuculidae. The record is from Rfam by way of RNAcentral.
AAGACCGUAGCUUAAUUAAAGCAUUUGAGUUGUAUUGAGGAGAUGCAGGUUAAUACCCUGCAGGUCUUA